Molecule: ribosomal RNA, 804 nt
Filed under: uncultured fungus
Lineage: Eukaryota; Fungi
Description: eukaryotic LSU rRNA
Rfam family: Eukaryotic small subunit ribosomal RNA (bases 1-241)
Source: RNAcentral
UUGCUCUUCAACGAGGAAUUCCUAGUAAGCGCAAGUCAUCAGCUUGCGUUGAUUACGUCCCUGCCCUUUGUACACACCGCCCGUCGCUACUACCGAUUGAAUGGCUUAGUGAGCCCUUCGGAGUGGUCCAUUUGAGCCGGCAACGGCACGUUUGGACUGCAAAGUUGGGCAAACUUGGUCAUUUAGAGGAAGUAAAAGUCGUAACAAGGUUUCCGUAGGUGAACCUGCGGAAGGAUCAUUAGUGAUUAAAUUAAAGCUUAUCUGUAAAAAGGAUAGCUCUAAAUCUUCUAUUACAAACCACUGUUUAAAAAUGUUAUAAGAAUGUAUUUGUGAUUUUUAAAUCACAGAAAGCUUUUAUUUUUAAUAAAACUUUCAGCAACGGAUCUCUUGGUUCAGGCAUCGAUGAAGAACGCAGCGAAAUGCGAUAAGUAAUGUGAAUUGCAGAUACAGUGAAUCAUCGAAUCUUUGAACGCAAAUGGCGCUCUAUGGUAUUCCGUAGAGCACGUCUGUUUGAGCGUCGCGAACAUCUCCAAAAUUAACUUUUUUUUGUUAAUUGAGGGUUAUGAGGUUGUCUAUGCUAGCCAUAGACUCCCUUCAAAUUGAUUAGUAGGACUCUAUUGAAGGGUUAAUACUGUGUGUUAUAGUGGAUCAUAUCCAUCACCAGUCAGAGGUUUUUUUAUAAACCUUGCCUAACGAUAGUAGUUAGACUGCUUCUAACCGUCUUAACCGACAAAACCAUGAUCAAAUCGACCUCAAAUCAGAUGGGAUUACCCGCUGAACUUAAGCAUAUCAAUAAGCGGAGGA